RNAcentral lists this unclassified non-coding RNA (368 nucleotides) under uncultured fungus. RNAcentral's name for it is "partial contains 5.8S ribosomal RNA, internal transcribed spacer 2, and large subunit ribosomal RNA". Lineage: Eukaryota; Fungi. The record is from RNAcentral.
AACGCAUAUUGCGCUCUUUGGUAUUCCGAGGAGCAUGCUUGUUUGAGUAUCAGUAAACACCUCAAAUCUUCAAGGUUUGUUCUUUGAAGAUUUGGAUUUGAGUGAUCCUAACGCAAAAAAGAUUUAUUUUUUUUUCGGCAGGUUACUUGAAAUUCAGGUGCAGCUGAACAGUCUUCUGAGCUAAAAGCAUAUUUAUUUAGUCCGCGCUUUAUUAAAGCUGGAUUAUUACUUUGCUGCAGCUAACAUAAAGGUUGAUUGUAUUCAAGUGCUGACUGAUGCAGGAAUUUAACAGUUUUGGAAAAUGCGCAAGCAAAGAAAAAGCUGUGAAUCUCGAUCUCAAAUCAAGUAAGACUACCCGCUGAACUUAA